RNAcentral lists this ribosomal RNA (321 nucleotides) under Salmonella enterica subsp. enterica serovar Corvallis. RNAcentral describes it as "partial 23S ribosomal RNA". It matches the Rfam family "Bacterial large subunit ribosomal RNA", at positions 911 to 1221 of the family's 2925-position model. The record is from RNAcentral. Lineage: Bacteria; Pseudomonadati; Pseudomonadota; Gammaproteobacteria; Enterobacterales; Enterobacteriaceae.
UGUUUCGGCUAGGGGGCCAUCCCGGCUUACCAACCCGAUGCAAACUGCGAAUACCGGAGAAUGUUAUCACGGGAGACACACGGCGGGUGCUAACGUCCGUCGUGAAGAGGGAAACAACCCAGACCGCCAGCUAAGGUCCCAAAGUCAUGGUUAAGUGGGAAACGAUGUGGGAAGGCCCAGACAGCCAGGAUGUUGGCUUAGAAGCAGCCAUCAUUUAAAGAAAGCGUAAUAGCUCACUGGUCGAGUCGGCCUGCGCGGAAGAUGUAACGGGGCUAAACCAUGCACCGAAGCUGCGGCAGCGAACGUAUCACUUAAAGCGAU